Non-coding RNA from Podarcis lilfordi (Lilford's wall lizard), 157 nucleotides. Lineage: Eukaryota; Metazoa; Chordata; Lepidosauria; Squamata; Lacertidae. The record is from the annotation of a GenBank genome assembly.
UGGGUUUGAUGGAACAGAGAUGUGACUGCAUUGCUCUGCUUUGGCUGGAGGCCGUUCCUGAGGCAGUUUUGUUUCCACUAAGUAUUAAGAAUAAAAGAGCAGCUCCUGGUCGUGUGUGUGUGUGUGUGUGUGUGUGUGUGUGACUGUUCCCUUCCAA